This 567-nucleotide ribosomal RNA is filed under the name uncultured bacterium. Its description in RNAcentral is "partial 16S ribosomal RNA". It matches the Rfam family "Bacterial small subunit ribosomal RNA", at positions 355 to 914 of the family's 1533-position model. The record is from RNAcentral.
UGGGGAAUUUUGGACAAUGGGCGAAAGCCUGAUCCAGCAAUGCCGCGUGUGUGAAGAAGGCCUUCGGGUUGUAAAGCACUUUUGUCCGGAAAGAAAUCCUUGGCUCUAAUACAGUCGGGGGAUGACGGUACCGGAAGAAUAAGCACCGGCUAACUACGUGCCAGCAGCCGCGGUAAUACGUAGGGUGCAAGCGUUAAUCGGAAUUACUGGGCGUAAAGCGUGCGCAGGCGGUUUGCUAAGACCGAUGUGAAAUCCCCGGGCUCAACCUGGGAACUGCAUUGGUGACUGGCAGGCUAGAGUAUGGCAGAGGGGGGUAGAAUUCCACGUGUAGCAGUGAAAUGCGUAGAGAUGUGGAGGAAUACCGAUGGCGAAGGCAGCCCCCUGGGGCCAAUACUGACGCUCAUGCACGAAAGCGUGGGGAGCAAACAGGAUUAGAUACCCUGGUAGUCCACGCCCUAAACGAUGUCAACUAGUUGUUGGGGAUUCAUUUCCUUAGUAACGUAGCUAACGCGUGAAGUUGACCGCCUGGGGAGUACGGUCGCAAGAUUAAAACUUAAAGGAAUUGAC